AAACUUUACAAGAAUGCAAGUGGCAACUUCAAAUUCUAUGUGGGGAACUUCUUUCGUUUUGAUGAGAAUCUGGAGGGGAAGUUUGACUUCGUCUGGGACGCGGGGGCGAUGUGCGCUGUAGAUGAGAGGGACAGACACAAGUACAUGGAAGCUGUCAGG
Molecule: unclassified non-coding RNA, 159 nt
Filed under: Haliotis rufescens (red abalone)
Lineage: Eukaryota; Metazoa; Mollusca; Gastropoda; Lepetellida; Haliotidae
Description: thiopurine S-methyltransferase-like, transcript variant X1
Source: RNAcentral